Molecule: long non-coding RNA, 444 nt
Organism: Scophthalmus maximus (turbot)
Lineage: Eukaryota; Metazoa; Chordata; Actinopteri; Pleuronectiformes; Scophthalmidae
Exons: 2
Source: RefSeq, a predicted model, not a curated record
GAUGUUGGAGAUGUGGACAGCAGACUGGCUGGAGGAAUCGCAGUGAUGAUCCUGUUAAUGUUUUUAUCAGCUCUUCUGAUUCUGCUGCUGCGAACAAUGAAGAGUCAACGUUCACCGACAGACCCUGAAGGGCACAUCGCUCUGGAACAACCUGACGAGACCGUGAGCUCUCUGGACAUCUCCCUCAGUCAGGGGGAGUCGUCCUCUCGGUCCGAGGGAUUACAUGGUGUCUACACCAGGAGACUCUCUGCUCUUCAUCCUCCGUCAUCAUCAUCCUCUGUCAAACAUGAAGCAGCAGGUUGUCUCAGAUCAUGUGACAUCACAGCUUUUGGCCUGUCCACAGGUGUUCAAGUUGACCAAUCAGAGGAGACGUUACAUGAGCAGAAUGAUUGUCAGCAGCCAAUCAGAGACCAGAAACAAAUAAAUGACUGAUGUGGAAUCUGA